RNAcentral lists this unclassified non-coding RNA (305 nucleotides) under plant metagenome. RNAcentral describes it as "partial contains 5.8S ribosomal RNA, internal transcribed spacer 2, and large subunit ribosomal RNA". The stretch from base 1 to 105 matches the Rfam family "5.8S ribosomal RNA", at positions 50 to 154 of the family's 154-position model. The record is from RNAcentral.
GAAAUGCGAUAAGUAAUGUGAAUUGCAGAAUUCAGUGAAUCAUCGAAUCUUUGAACGCACAUUGCGCCCGCCAGUAUUCUGGCGGGCAUGCCUGUUCGAGCGUCAUUUCAACCAUCAAGCCCCCGGCUUGUGUUGGGGACCUGCGGCUGCCCGCAGGCCCUGAAAAACAGUGGCGGGCUCGCUGUCACACCGAGCGUAGUAGCAUACAUUCUUGCUCAGGGCGUGCUGCGGGUUCCGGCCGUUAAACGACCUUCAUAACCCAAGGUUGACCUCGGAUCAGGUAGGAAGACCCGCUGAACUUAAGC